GAAAUGCGAUAAGUAAUGUGAAUUGCAGAAUUCAGUGAAUCAUCGAAUCUUUGAACGCACAUUGCGCCCUCUGGCAUUCCGGGGGGCACGCCUGUCCGAGCGUCAUCGCACCUCUCGAGCCCGGCUCGGUGUUGGGCGCCGCCCCCGGGCGGGCCCGAAAGUCAGCGGCGGAGCGUCCGAAACCCCAGCGUGGCAAGUCUAGCGCUCGGUGGUUCGGGGCUCCCGCCACCACACACACACAUCAGGUUGACCUCGGAUCAGGUGGGGAUACCCGCUGAACUUAA
This 284-nucleotide unclassified non-coding RNA is filed under the name uncultured fungus. RNAcentral describes it as "sequence contains ITS1". The stretch from base 1 to 105 matches the Rfam family "5.8S ribosomal RNA", at positions 50 to 154 of the family's 154-position model. The record is from RNAcentral. Lineage: Eukaryota; Fungi.